UACGAAGGGGGCUAGCGUUGCUCGGAAUCACUGGGCGUAAAGGGUGCGUAGGCGGGUCUUUAAGUCAGGGGUGAAAUCCUGGAGCUCAACUCCAGAACUGCCUUUGAUACUGAAGAUCUUGAGUUCGGGAGAGGUGAGUGGAACUGCGAGUGUAGAGGUGAAAUUCGUAGAUAUUCGCAAGAACACCAAUGGCGAAAGCACUCUGCUGGGCCGACACUGACACUGAGAGACGAAAGCUAGGGGAGCAAAUGGG
This 253-nucleotide ribosomal RNA is filed under the name uncultured bacterium. RNAcentral's name for it is "partial 16S ribosomal RNA". It matches the Rfam family "Bacterial small subunit ribosomal RNA", at positions 524 to 776 of the family's 1533-position model. The record is from RNAcentral.